AUUGAACGCUGGCGGCAUGCCUUACACAUGCAAGUCGAACGGCAGCACGGGUGCUUGCACCUGGUGGCGAGUGGCGAACGGGUGAGUAAUACAUCGGAACGUACCUUAUCGUGGGGGAUGACGCAGCGAAAGCUGUGCUAAUACCGCAUACGCCCUGAGGGGGAAAGCGGGGGAUCGAAAGACCUCGCGCGAUUAGAGCGGCCGAUGCCUGAUUAGCUUGUUGGUGGGGUAAAAGCCCACCAAGGCGACGAUCAGUAGCUGGUCUGAGAGGACGAUCAGCCACACUGGGACUGAGACAGGGCCCAGACUCCUACGGGAGGCAGCAGUGGGGAAUUUUGGACAAUGGGGGCAACCCUGAUCCAGCAAUGCCGCGUGAGUGAAGAAGGCCUUCGGGUUGUAAAGCUCUUUUGUCAGGGAAGAAACACCGGCUCUAACACAGUCCGGGAAUGACGGUACCUGAAGAAUAAGCACCGGCUAACUACGUGCCAGCCGCCGCAGUAA
This 501-nucleotide ribosomal RNA is filed under the name uncultured bacterium. Its description in RNAcentral is "partial 16S ribosomal RNA". It matches the Rfam family "Bacterial small subunit ribosomal RNA", at positions 29 to 523 of the family's 1533-position model. The record is from RNAcentral.